Ixodes scapularis (black-legged tick) is the source of this 73-nucleotide non-coding RNA. The record is from Rfam. Lineage: Eukaryota; Metazoa; Arthropoda; Arachnida; Ixodida; Ixodidae.
CCCUGGUUGGCUCAGUUGGUAGAGCGCUCCACCUGUAAUAGAGAGGUCCCGGGUUCGAUACCCGGACCAGGCG